UUGACCUCAAAUCAGGUAGGACUACCCGCUGAACUUAAGCAUAUCAAUAAGCGGAGGAAAAGAAACUAACAAGGAUUCCCCUAGUAACUGCGAGUGAAGCGGGAAAAGCUCAAAUUUGAAAUCUGGCAGUUCUUGAACUGUCCGAAUUGUAAUCUAGAGAAGUGUUACCUGUGCUGGACCGUGUACAAGUCUUCUGGAAUGGAGCAUCACAGAGGGUGAGAAUCCCGUCUUUGACACGGACUGCCUGCACGUUGUGGUGUGCUCUCGAAGAGUCGAGUUGUUUGGGAAUGCAGCUCAAAAUGGGUGGUAAAUGCCAUCUAAAGCUAAAUAUUGGCGAGAGACCGAUAGCGAACAAGUACCGUGAGGGAAAGAUGAAAAGAACUUUGGAAAGAGAGUUAAACAGUACGUGAAAUUGCUGAAAGGGAAACGCUUGAAGUCAGUCAUGUCGGCUAGAAAUCAGCCUUGCUUUUGCUUGGUGUAUUUUCUGGUUGAUGGGUCAGCAUCAAUUUUGACCAUUGGAUAAAGUCAUUGGGAAUGUGGCAUCUUAGGAUGUGUUAUAGCCCAUUGUCGCAUACGGUGGUUGGGAUUGAGGAACUCAGCAUGCCACAAUGGCCGGGUUUUUUU
Molecule: ribosomal RNA, 624 nt
Filed under: Inocybe nitidiuscula
Lineage: Eukaryota; Fungi; Basidiomycota; Agaricomycetes; Agaricales; Inocybaceae
Description: eukaryotic LSU rRNA
Rfam family: Eukaryotic large subunit ribosomal RNA
Source: RNAcentral